CAAAAUAAAAAGCCCCCCUCGGGGGGCUUGACGGUGAGGGGGCUACGCCCCCGAACUGUUAAACCCUUUGUGAAAACCCUCCGUUGCCUCGGCGGCACUCCCCUUGCCGCGCGGCGCUCCCAUGCGCUGCGCCGAAGGGGGACGGUCAGCCCGCCGGCGGCACCCAACCAAAACCCAUAACCAUUUUGAAGAAGCUGUCUGAAACCUAAAGUCGAAUGACUAUA
RNAcentral lists this unclassified non-coding RNA (224 nucleotides) under uncultured fungus. RNAcentral describes it as "sequence contains ITS1". The record is from RNAcentral. Lineage: Eukaryota; Fungi.